AACGAACGCUGGCGGCAUGCCUAACACAUGCAAGUCGAACGAGACCUUCGGGUCUAGUGGCGCACGGGUGCGUAACGCGUGGGAACCUGCCCUUAGGUUCGGAAUAACUCCCCGAAAGGGGUGCUAAUACCGGAUAAUGUCUUCGGACCAAAGAUUUAUCGCCUUUGGAUGGGCCCGCGUUGGAUUAGCUAGUUGGUAGGGUAAAAGCCUACCAAGGCGACGAUCCAUAGCUGGUCUGAGAGGAUGAUCAGCCACACUGGGACUGAGACACGGCCCAGACCCCUAGGGGGGGCAGGGGUGGGGAAUAUUGGAAAGGGGGGCAAAUCCUGACCCGCCAAUGCCGGGUGGGUGAUGAAGGCUUUGGGGUUUUAAAUCUUUUUUCCCGGGGAUGAAAAGAAAGGAACGGGGAAAAAAACCCCCGCUAAACCCCUG
Molecule: ribosomal RNA, 432 nt
Filed under: uncultured bacterium
Lineage: Bacteria
Description: partial 16S ribosomal RNA
Rfam family: Bacterial small subunit ribosomal RNA
Source: RNAcentral